Molecule: RNA transcript, 616 nt
Organism: Brassica napus (rape)
Lineage: Eukaryota; Viridiplantae; Streptophyta; Magnoliopsida; Brassicales; Brassicaceae
Gene name: pectinesterase inhibitor 12-like
Exons: 2
Source: RefSeq, a predicted model, not a curated record
AUGGGAAGAAACGCUUGGUCACACAUAGACUUUGCCAAGUUUAUCAGAGAUUUAUGCCACAUGUUACUUUACGAAUGGUUAUCCGCGCAAACCUUGAUUCGAGAUUCCUGCAAAACAGCUGCAGCAAAAGACCCUAAUCUCAAGUAUGAUUUUUGCGUCCAAUCACUAGUCUAUCAGGAUUGGUCCUAGCACCAACGAAUAACGCUGCGUCCAAAACAAUUAACGUGAAAGGGAUAGUUGAGACUAUUCUCAAAAGCAAAAAGUAUGCAUCGAGUACUGAACCCGCGUUACGCACUUGCGUAAAGCUUUAUGACAAUGCAUAUGGUUCUUUAAAAGAAGCUUUGAUGAACGUUAAAUCUAGUAAUUACAAAAGUGCUAAUAUGCAUCUGAGUGCUGCUUUGGAUGAACCUGGCAUUUGUCAAAAUGGUUUCAAAGAGAAGCACGCGAAAUCUCCUGUUACAAACGAGAACAAUGUUUCGUUUCAGAAGAUUUUGAUUCCUUUAGCUUUUACCAAUAUGCUCUGAUGAAAUUACCAUAAGUUCUUGCAUUAUGUAAUGUGGAUUUUCGUUUACCUAAUAAUAAAUUUAAGAGCAAAGGAAAAUUAUUCCAUUGGAAA